AUGUAAUUGUGGAACAAGUAGGCGAGGAGACAGGAUGAGAAGUUAUAUAUCUCCGAAUUUAGUUAAAUCGGGUUUACGUAACUUGGUGUAUAACUGUAUUUAAAUUGGCUCACGAUAAUAUAAUGCACAGUUUUCUCUAUAUGCAGACUAAGUAUAUUAACAAUCGUAUGAACUCUCGUAUUAUGGUGACAUUAUAUGUUGGUACAUAUUUAUGAUGUCACUUAUUUUCAUAGCAUAAUGACGUCAUACACAUGUCAUUUUGAUGCUUUCUUCGUGACGGCAGCAUUGUAAUUUCACAAUGUCGUUAUGUCGAUGCCUGGUUGAUGUGAUCUUUAGAUUCUCUGACCGAUUUCAAAAUUAUUACUUUAACGAUGAUCUUAGAAAUCCGAUGAUGCCAUCUUUGGGACCACAUAGCCGUCUGAGAUUUACCAUCCUUAAUAGUGGUCGGUCAGAUAGUCUUGUAGUCAAGUAUUGUGUUAGCUUACUAUCUGGAAUAUCAUCUAGAUAGAAAGACGGGCAUAAAACGAUAGAGAAAAGAAAGAUUGAUAUGCAGUUUGAUUCACGCAUUUCUUUGUGGAAUAAGGGCUGUUAACUAUAACUACACGCAACUAUUUUGUUAUAUAUUCUAUGUUUAUCUUUUUUUCUUCAAUACUGUAC
This 657-nucleotide long non-coding RNA is filed under the name Androctonus crassicauda. Lineage: Eukaryota; Metazoa; Arthropoda; Arachnida; Scorpiones; Buthidae. The record is from RNAcentral.